RNAcentral lists this ribosomal RNA (503 nucleotides) under uncultured bacterium. Its description in RNAcentral is "bacterial SSU rRNA". It matches the Rfam family "Bacterial small subunit ribosomal RNA", at positions 16 to 507 of the family's 1533-position model. The record is from RNAcentral.
AUCCUGGCUCAGGAUGAACGCUAGCUACAGGCUUAACACAUGCAAGUCGAGGGGCAGCAUGCUGAUAGCUUGCUAUCAGUGAUGGCGACCGGCGCACGGGUGCGUAACGCGUAUCGAACCUACCCUUUACUCGGGGAACAGCCUUGCGAAAGCAAGAUUAAUGCCCGAUGUUCCGCGUUUGCCGCAUGGCAAAUUCGGCAAAGAUUUAUUGGUAAAGGAUGGCGAUGCGUCCCAUUAGUUAGUUGGCGGGGUAACGGCCCACCAAGACGACGAUGGGUAGGGGUUCUGAGAGGAAGGUCCCCCACAUUGGAACUGAGACACGGUCCAAACUCCUACGGGAGGCAGCAGUGAGGAAUGUUGGUCAAUGGGCGCGAGCCUGAACCAGCCAAGUAGCGUGCGGGAUGAAGGCCCUAUGGGUUGUAAACCGCUUUUUCAGGGGGAUAAAGUGAGUGACGUGUCAUUCAUUGCAGGUACCCUGCGAAUAAGGACCGGCUAAUUCCGUG